This is a long non-coding RNA of Cyprinus carpio (common carp), 1240 nucleotides long. The record is from Ensembl. NCBI's taxonomy places the organism in Eukaryota, Metazoa, Chordata, Actinopteri, Cypriniformes, Cyprinidae.
UAAUGUUCAUGUGAGUGAGUGAAAUUUUUUUCUUUUCUAGACCGUGAAACUCUGAUGAACGUUACUAAGACAGCACAUAUUAAAGCUGGUAAUGCUCUUACACAGCCUAUUAUUUUACAAAUUUAUUCUCAGGAUUUUUUCUUUUCUUUUAAAAACUUUCCAGAUACAGUUUAUUAUAUAUUAUAUUAUCAUAAAAGCAAUAUUAGAAUAUGCUACAUGAUGCACUUUCAGACAGAUUGGCUUUUCUGCUUGUAAUGUAUAAUGUGUAUAUAUGUAUAAUUAAUUUUAUGUCUUACUGAUUUCGUCUUUGUACUUUACCCACUCUGUACUUUACAUAUAUAAAGUACCAAAUUAAUCUAAAUUAUAUCCAGCUCUCAUUGUCCUAUUAUCAUGCAAUUAAAAUUUGCAUUUGUCUUCUCCACAACACAGAACGUGAUGCACUGAAAAACAUCACUAAACCAGCACCUGCAAAGAGAGAUAAAGAGGCUCCAAAAGCUAAGAUCAGACCAGAGCCCAAAAAGAAAGAAAUCACCCGUGAGAAGGUCAAAGAAGAAAAAGAACCUUUAAAGAAAGAACCUGAGCAGGUCAAAGAAAGAGUAGUCAAGCCAACUGAGAAGGUACCUGUUCUGGACAAGGAAGUAAAAAGAGAAGAACCUGAUGUCACUAAAGAUAUUCCAGAGAUAGAGGAGGAGGACGUUCCCUACUUCCAGUGUUUCUUUGUGGAUGAGGAUGAUACUCAGUAUCCGUUCUUCCCCUUUUCACCACCGCUGUGUUCCCAUGACAGGCAAGGAGGAGUGUCAGGGUUUCCCAGAGCCUCUUUGCCUCUUUUCUUUUCAUUGGGGAACAACGGGGAGAGUUUCUUUCAUGACACUUGGCAAGAGCAUAAUCUGGCAGUGAUGUCACUCCUAAACUUAUAGGCUAUUGGCCCAUGGAAGAACGGACUACUCUCGGCCCACAAAGAAGCGAGGCAAAAUCAGCUUAAAGCUGAACUGUGGUUGGCCUAGAGAAGAAAAAAAAGGGAGAAGAUGAAGGCAAGCAUUCAUGCUUCCUGACAAAUGGCCACAGAGACUUGACAUAGACUGAGAGGAUGAAUAGACCCCCCAUAUCCUCUCGCUUUUUUUCUCUUGCUCAGUCACUUUGAAGACAAAAUUAGUCUACACAGUAGUCUUGGCACUUUUGAAAACACCUGUGGUGAUCUAAAAGAAAUAAAAACUUUACUUUACUAUAGGUUUUUGUAUUC